AGUGAACGCUGGCGGCAGGCCUAACACAUGCAAGUCGAGCGGCAGCGCGGGGGCAACCCUGGCGGCGAGCGGCGGACGGGUGAGGAAUUCGUCGGAAUCUGCCUUUUUGUGGGGGAUAACGUAGGGAAACUUACGCUAAUACCGCAUACGUCCUACGGGAGAAAGUGGGGGACCGCAAGGCCUCACGCAGAAAGAUGAGCCGACGACCGAUUAGCUAGUUGGUGGGGUAAGGGCCCACCAAGGCGACGAUCGGUAGCUGGUCUGAGAGGAUGAUCAGCCACACUGGGACUGAGACACGGCCCAGACUCCUACGGGAGGCAGCAGUGGGGAAUAUUGGACAAUGGGCGCAAGCCUGAUCCAGCCAUGCCGCGUGUGUGAAGAAGGCCUUCGGGUUGUAAAGCACUUUUGUCCGGAAAGAAAUCCCUGGAGCUAAUACCUUCGGGGGAUGACGGUACCGGAAGAAUAAGCACCGGCUAACUUCGUG
Molecule: ribosomal RNA, 484 nt
Filed under: uncultured bacterium
Lineage: Bacteria
Description: partial 16S ribosomal RNA
Rfam family: Bacterial small subunit ribosomal RNA
Source: RNAcentral